CCUACGGGUGGCAGCAGUGGGGAAUAUUGGACAAUGGGGGGAACCCUGAUCCAGCCAUGCCGCGUGUGUGAAGAAGGCCUCGGGUUGUAAAGCACUUUCAGUGAGGAAGAACGCCUGGUGGUUAAUACCCAUCAGGAAAGACAUCACUCACAGAAGAAGCACCGGCUAACUCCGUGCCAGCAGCCGCGGUAAUACGGAGGGUGCGAGCGUUAAUCGGAAUUACUGGGCGUAAAGCGCGCGUAGGUGGCUUGAUAAGCCGGUUGUGAAAGCCCCGGGCUCAACCUGGGAACGGCAUCCGGAACUGUCAAGCUAGAGUGCAGGAGAGGAAGGUAGAAUUCCCGGUGUAGCGGUGAAAUGCGUAGAGAUCGGGAGGAAUACCAGUGGCGAAGGCGGCCUUCUGGACUGACACUGACACUGAGGUGCGAAAGCGUGGGUAGCAAACAGGAUUAGAUACCCCUGUAGUC
RNAcentral lists this ribosomal RNA (464 nucleotides) under Vreelandella stevensii. RNAcentral's name for it is "partial 16S ribosomal RNA". It matches the Rfam family "Bacterial small subunit ribosomal RNA", at positions 338 to 795 of the family's 1533-position model. Lineage: Bacteria; Pseudomonadati; Pseudomonadota; Gammaproteobacteria; Oceanospirillales; Halomonadaceae. The record is from RNAcentral.